RNAcentral lists this ribosomal RNA (253 nucleotides) under uncultured bacterium. Its description in RNAcentral is "partial 16S ribosomal RNA". It matches the Rfam family "Bacterial small subunit ribosomal RNA", at positions 524 to 776 of the family's 1533-position model. The record is from RNAcentral.
UACGAGGGGGGCGAGCGUUGUUCGGAAUUAUUGGGCGUAAAGGGUGCGUAGGCGGCCUGACAAGUCUGAUGUGAAAUCCCUGGGCUCAACCCAGGGCCUGCAUCGGAAACUGUCGGGCUUGAGUAUGGGAGAGGUGAGUGGAAUUUCCGGUGUAGCGGUGAAAUGCGUAGAUAUCGGAAGGAACACCUGUGGCGAAAGCGGCUCACUGGACCAUUACUGACGCUGAGGUACGAAAGCUAGGGGAGCAAACAGG